Molecule: ribosomal RNA, 506 nt
Filed under: uncultured bacterium
Lineage: Bacteria
Description: partial 16S ribosomal RNA
Rfam family: Bacterial small subunit ribosomal RNA
Source: RNAcentral
AUUGAACGCUGGCGGCAGGCCUAACACAUGCAAGUCGAGCGGCAGCGGGGGAAAGCUUGCUUUCCCGCCGGCGAGCGGCGGACGGGUGAGUAAUGUCUGGGAAACUGCCUGAUGGAGGGGGAUAACUACUGGAAACGGUAGCUAAUACCGCAUAACGUCUUCGGACCAAAGUGGGGGACCUUCGGGCCUCAUGCCAUCAGAUGUGCCCAGAUGGGAUUAGCUAGUAGUUGGGGUAACGGCGCACCUAGGCGACGAUCCCUAGCUGGUCUGAGGGGAUGAAAAGGCACACUGGAACUGAGACGCGGUCCAGACUCCUACGGGGGGCAGCAGUGGGGAAUAUUGCACAAUGGGCGCAAGCCUGAUGCAGCCAUGCCGCGUGUAUGAAGAAGGCCUUCGGGUUGUAAAGUACUUUCAGCGGGGAGGAAGGUGUUGUGGUUAAUAACCGCAGCAAUUGACGUUACCCGCAGAAGAAGCACCGGCUAACUCCGUGCCAGCCGCCGCGGUAA